AGUGAACGCUGGCGGUAGGCCUAACACAUGCAAGUCGAACGGCAGCACAGUAAGAGCUUGCUCUUACGGGUGGCGAGUGGCGGACGGGUGAGGAAUACAUCGGAAUCUACUUUUUCGUGGGGGAUAACGUAGGGAAACUUACGCUAAUACCGCAUACGACCUACGGUUGAAAGCAGGGGAUCUUCGGACCUUGCGCGAUUGAAUGAGCCGAUGUCGGAUUAGAUAGUUGGCGGGGUAAAGCCCCACCCAGGCGAGGAUCCGUAGCUGGUUUGAGAGGAUGGUCAGCCACACUGGAAGUGAGAAACGGUCCAGAGUCCUAAGGGAGGCAGCAGUGGGGAAUAUUGGACAAUGGGCGCAAGCCUGAUCCAGCCAUACCGCGUGGGUGAAGAAGGCCUUCGGGUUGUAAAGCCCUUUUGUUGGGAAAGAAAAGCAGCAGGUUAAUACCCCGCUGUUCUGACGGUACCCAAAGAAUAAGCACCGGCUAACUUCGUG
This 492-nucleotide ribosomal RNA is filed under the name uncultured bacterium. Its description in RNAcentral is "partial 16S ribosomal RNA". It matches the Rfam family "Bacterial small subunit ribosomal RNA", at positions 29 to 507 of the family's 1533-position model. The record is from RNAcentral.